CUGGAAAGGCCCGCCAAAGACGGUAACAGCCCGGUAGUUGAAAUGGCUUUCCCUCCAGAGUGGAUCCUGAGUACGGCGGAACACGUGAAAUUCCGUCGGAAUCCGGGAGGACCAUCUCCCAAGGCUAAAUACUCCCUAGUGACCGAUAGUGAACCAGUACCGUGAGGGAAAGGUGAAAAGCACCCCGGAAGGGGAGUGAAACAGUUCCUGAAACCGUGUGCCUACAAGUAGUUAGAGCCCGUUAAUGGGUGAUAGCGUGCCUUUUGUAGAAUGAACCGGCGAGUUACGAUUUGUUGCAAGGUUAAGCGGAAAAAGCGGAGCCGUAGCGAAAGCGAGUCUGAAUAGGGCGCAUAAGUAACAGGUCGUAGACCCGAAACCAGGUGAUCUACCCAUGUCCAGGAUGAAGGUAAGGUAAUACUUACUGGAGGUCCGAACCCACGCACGUUGAAAAGUGCGGGGAUGAGGUGUGGGUAGCGGAGAAAUUCCAAUCGAACUUGGAGAUAGCUGGUUCUCUCCGAAAUAGCUUUAGGGCUAGCCUCGAGGUAAAGAGUCAUGGAGGUAGAGCACUGUUUGGACUAGGGGCCCUUCUCGGGUUACCGAAUUCAGAUAAACUCCGAAUGCCAUGUACUUAUACUCGGGAGUCAGACUGCGAGUGAUAAGAUCCGUAGUCGAAAGGGAAACAGCCCAGACCACCAGUUAAGGUCCCCAAAUAUAUGUUAAGUGGAAAAGGAUGUGGGGUUGCUUAGACAACCAGGAUGUUGGCUUAGAAGCAGCCACCAUUGAAAGAGUGCGUAAUAGCUCACUGGUCGAGUGACCCCGCGCCGAAAAUGUACCGGGGCUAAACAUAUUA
RNAcentral lists this ribosomal RNA (850 nucleotides) under Listeria monocytogenes. RNAcentral's name for it is "partial 23S ribosomal RNA". It matches the Rfam family "Bacterial large subunit ribosomal RNA", at positions 342 to 1193 of the family's 2925-position model. Lineage: Bacteria; Bacillati; Bacillota; Bacilli; Caryophanales; Listeriaceae. The record is from RNAcentral.